This 1200-nucleotide ribosomal RNA is filed under the name Triticum aestivum (bread wheat). RNAcentral describes it as "partial small subunit ribosomal RNA". The record is from RNAcentral. Lineage: Eukaryota; Viridiplantae; Streptophyta; Magnoliopsida; Poales; Poaceae.
AUGAUGGCCACCCGCCUUGCUCUUCACAUGCCCAACCUCGUUUCCAAUACUCAAAGUGCUUUCAUCAAGAAACGAAGUAUCCAUGAUAACUUUAUGUAUGUCCGCAACUUGGCUCGAUGGUUGCACCGCAACAAAACACCGUCCUUGCUCUUCAAGCUUGACAUCAAGAAAGCCUUCGACUCUGUGAGAUGGGAUUAUUUGAUGGACUUGCUUCGUCACCACCAGUUUCCGAGCCGGUUUCGAGAUUGGGUCUCCGCCCUCCUAUCCACGGCCUCAUCUAGAGUUUUGCUAAAUGGUGUUGCUGGUGAUCCAAUUAAGCAUGGCUGUGGUCUUCGACAAGGGGAUCCUCUCUCCCCUUUGCUCUUUGUCCUCGCUAUUGAUCCGCUCCACCACAUCCUAGCCAAGGCUACCGAGCAAGGGUUGUUGCAUCCUCUUCGUGGCCGGCCCAUCCGUGCAUCCUUGUAUGCGGAUGAUGCUGCUAUCUUUGUGGCGCCCAUCAUGGAUGAUAUUCACUGCUUGGCUUCGACUUUGAGCUCCUUUGGGGAGGUUACUGGCCUAGUCACCAACUGCGCCAAAAGCCUUGUGGCGCCCAUUCGCUGUGGCAACAUCGGCCUUGGCAACAUUCUACAGGCCUUCCCGGCAGUCCGUACUACUUUCCCCAUGCGAUAUCUUGGUCUUCCGUUGUCGGUCACAAGACUAAAGCGCAUCCACUUUCAGUAUUUGGAGGACAAGGUGGCAGGCAAGCUUCUGCCUUGGUCGGCAAUGCAUGUGGCUACGCCGGGGCGCAUUAUUUUGGUCAAGGCCGUGCUCACUGCCAUUGCCAUUUACCACCUCACGCCUCUAGAUCUUCCGGUUGAAGUGAUGAAGAAGAUCGAUAGCCUGCGACGUGCCUACCUUUGGGCGGGCUGUGAUAAGGUGACCGGCGGAAAAUGUAAGGUUAAUUGGGAUCUCGUCUGCAAGCCCAAGAUUUAUGGUGGACUGGGAGUGCUCAACCUCCAAAAAUUUGCAGCCGCCCUACGCUUGCGUUGGCUCUGGCAUGAAUGGGAUGAACCACUUAAGACUUGGUGUGGCUCUGGAACACCUUGCACUAGCAACGAUAAAGAUCUCUUCGCGGCUGCUACACGGAUGUGCAUUGGAGAUGGAAACAAAGCUAAGUUUUGGGAAUCUCCAUGGUUGGACGGCCUCCGGCCUAAAGAUAUU